Molecule: ribosomal RNA, 254 nt
Filed under: uncultured bacterium
Lineage: Bacteria
Description: partial 16S ribosomal RNA
Rfam family: Bacterial small subunit ribosomal RNA
Source: RNAcentral
UACGUAGGUGGCAAGCGUUGUCCGGAAUUAUUGGGCGUAAAGCGCGCGCAGGCGGCCUCUUAAGUCAGGUGUGAAAGCCCUGGGCUUAACCUAGGAAUUGCGCUUGAGACCGGAUAGCUUGGAGUGCGGCAGAGGGAGGUGGAAUUCCACGUGUAGCAGUGAAAUGCGUAGAGAUGUGGAGGAACACCGAUGGCGAAGGCAGCCUCCUGGGCCAGCACUGACGCUCAUGCACGAAAGCGUGGGGAGCAAACAGG